RNAcentral lists this ribosomal RNA (332 nucleotides) under uncultured bacterium. Its description in RNAcentral is "bacterial SSU rRNA". It matches the Rfam family "Bacterial small subunit ribosomal RNA", at positions 568 to 898 of the family's 1533-position model. The record is from RNAcentral.
CGUGUAGGCGGCUUGGUAAGUUGGGUGUGAAAGCCCGGAGCUCAACUCCGGAACUGCACUCGAAACUGCCUCGCUCGAGUCCCGGAGAGGGUGGUGGAAUUCCCGGUGUAGAGGUGAAAUUCGUAGGUAUCGGGAGGAACACCAGUGGCGAAGGCGGCCACCUGGACGGUGACUGACGCUGAGACGCGAAAGCGUGGGGAGCAAACAGGAUUAGAUACCCUGGUAGUCCACGCCGUAAACUUUGGGUGCUAGGCGUCGCGGGUAUUGACCCCCGCGGUGCCGCAGCUAACGCGUUAAGCACCCCGCCUGGGGAGUACGGUCGCAAGACUAAA